This 400-nucleotide ribosomal RNA is filed under the name uncultured bacterium. RNAcentral describes it as "bacterial SSU rRNA". It matches the Rfam family "Bacterial small subunit ribosomal RNA", at positions 355 to 770 of the family's 1533-position model. The record is from RNAcentral.
UGAGGAAUAUUGCGCAAUGGGGGAAACCCUGACGCAGCGACGCCGCGUGGGCGACGAAGGCCUUCGGGUCGUAAAGCCCUUUUGGCAGGGACGAGUGAGGACGGUACCUGCUGAAUAAGUCUCGGCUAACUACGUGCCAGCAGCCGCGGUAAAACGUAGGAGGCGAGCGUUAUCCGGAUUCACUGGGCGUAAAGCGCGCGUAGGCGGUUGGGUAAGUCGGACGUGAAAGCCCCUGGCUCAACUGGGGGAGGCCGUUCGAUACUGCCCGGCUUGAGGGUGAGAGAGGGAAGUGGAAUUCCCGGUGUAGCGGUGGAAUGCGUAGAGAUCGGGAGGAACACCAGUGGCGAAAGCGGCUUCCUGGCUCACUCCUGACGCUGAGAGCGCGAAAGCGUGGGGAGCA